Dioscorea cayenensis subsp. rotundata (Guinea yam) is the source of this 107-nucleotide small nucleolar RNA. The record is from RefSeq and is a predicted model, not a curated record. Lineage: Eukaryota; Viridiplantae; Streptophyta; Magnoliopsida; Dioscoreales; Dioscoreaceae.
AAACCAUGGUGAGGGCACUUGCGAAGAAGAUCUUUAAAUCGUCCAUGGGCUUCAAAGAGUGUCUUAGUAUCACCUUACCUGAAAGACGAUAUCUCCUGUCUCAGUCU